UCUACCCGCGCAUACUCCUUCGCAUAUCCUCCCCGCGCGGCGUCCCUCCUCCUUCCCGCUCGGCGUGCGAAACUUCUCCGGGCUAUCCCCUCCCGUCGUCCUUCAUCGGUACCUCCCACCGCCUUCCUUCAUCGGCUGCCAUCGACUAGAUCCCGGCGCCAGCGGUUGACGAGCACACGACGCCUAGGUCGCGACCAGAUCGUAGACAUGGCGGCGCGCGCGGCCGUAGAAAGGCGGAGGAGGCGAGGCGCAUGCAUCACUCUCGCUUCAUGGCGGCGGCGGACUCGGCACGGCCGCAUUUGAAUCAACCGGUCAUCGAGGGGUGAGGCAAGGGCGGCGGUGUCAGGCUACGGCGGUGCCGGGACCAGAAGCGUGUGCUACCUGACGUACCUGAAUCAACCAGUCGCCGUAUUCUGGACCCCAAAGCGAAGUCCAGCAGAUAUAUAUAUAUAUAUGUUUUCGUGAGCAUAUACGGAAGUACGGAAACUAUAUAUUUGUGAGCAUUUCAAUCGACACCUCAAUUCGUCCUACAACUGCCUAGCUAAUAUAGAAGACGAUUUCGCUAAGUUUUACAGUGUAUUUGAUUCAAAAUACAAACCUGACUGCGGUAUUGUUUUGUGUCGUAUGGGUGAUGGGUCUAAAAUAGACUAUUUUUACUUUCUCUACUUUCAAAGUGCAAUCAUUAUUAUAUGCUUAAAUAUAUAUGAUUUGAUUAGAGUAAAUAUGUAAUUUCCAAGCAACAUCAAGCCUGCUCGGCAGGCCUUCGCAGCAGCAGCUGCUGCAGGGCUACAGUAAAAAA
Long non-coding RNA from Sorghum bicolor (sorghum), 799 nucleotides. RefSeq lists it as uncharacterized. The record is from RefSeq and is a predicted model, not a curated record. The transcript is spliced from 2 exons. NCBI's taxonomy places the organism in Eukaryota, Viridiplantae, Streptophyta, Magnoliopsida, Poales, Poaceae.